AGCAUUCUGGCAAAAGUAAAGAGAUAGUACCCGAGGAUCAAUAAUCGGAGUACUCGAAACUUGAUUUCCAUUACAGUGAGUAAACUUACUAUCAUCUUAAUUAUCUAAAGUGGUUUUUAUCUGAUUUUGUGAUUUUAUGGAAAAUGAGUUUAAAUAGUAAAUCUUUAUGUUUUAUAAACAAAAUGUGUUUAAAUGAAAUGAUUUUAUAAAUUGUCUUGAAAUUGAAUGAUGGCUUUGAAAAUAGAGUAAUUGGAGACCAUUUGAUAAAUUGUGAAUUUAUGGUUCUAAUUGAUUGGCUUAUGGCAAUAUUGGCAUGAAUGGUUGAAUUGGUAUUUGUGUUGAAAAUGUAUAAACUGUUGUUUGCCUUGAUAGGCUGGAUAAUGAUAAAAUUGCCAUGUCAUGCUAUUAAAUUUUAUUGAAUUGGAGGGUUAUUGAUUAGUCGCUGUAGUGGACGAGUUCCAUGGAUCAGCCUAUUAGAGGGGGCACGGUAACCCUAUUAUAUUCUUACCUCGAUCGGAGAAGCGUGUAGGGUAACUCCCGAGGUACACUUUUAGAGUUCACUUCAUGCCAAACCACCACGUGAGGGUGAACUCAGCCAACACCAAGGAACGACUAUGUUUUCAAAAUAAAAAUAUGUUUAUGUGUAUACGAAAUUUUUAACAGCCUUGGAGGACUCGAUUGGGAUAGCCCUUGGCCAAGGUAUCCCUAAUAACUAAGUAUGAGAAUGAUUUUGGCACGAGCCAAAGUUUUAAGAAAUUCAUAAGCCAUGUUGAAUACUCGAUUUAUAUGAAUUGAUUUUAUUCAGUUGAAAUGAGUUGAAAGGUGAUGAAUUAUAGUAUGAUAAUCUAUUUUAAUCUGUCUCCAUUUACUCAGCUUUAGAUAUUUUAGAUUGUAUUUGUUUACUCACUGGGAUUAUAUAAUCUCACCACCCUAAUUUUCACCCAUUUCAGGCUCAGGAUAGUUGGUAGAUAGCUCACUUUGUUGAGGGAUACAGUUGGACUUCCAUCCUCAAAAACUGUAAGUUUACCGCUUUUGAUACUUUUGGUCGUUCGUGGGCCCACAUGUCAUUGUAAAUUAAAUUUUAUACUUUG
RNAcentral lists this long non-coding RNA (1091 nucleotides) under Theobroma cacao (cacao). RNAcentral's name for it is "long non-coding RNA (TCAC_LNC001037)". The record is from RNAcentral. Lineage: Eukaryota; Viridiplantae; Streptophyta; Magnoliopsida; Malvales; Malvaceae.